AUACUACUCCCUCCGAUCCUAAAUUGUUGUCGAAAUAUUACAUGUAUCUAGACGCUUUUUAAGAGUAGAUACAUCCAUAUUUGGGCAAAUUUGAGACAAGAAUUUAGGAUCGGAGGGAGUAGCCU
This is a non-coding RNA of Brachypodium distachyon (stiff brome), 125 nucleotides long. The record is from Rfam. Lineage: Eukaryota; Viridiplantae; Streptophyta; Magnoliopsida; Poales; Poaceae.